GGCGGGAUGCCUGGCCUGUUGGGACCGAUCCUUGUAGUAGGUCAGCGCAGGAGUGACGCAGAAGGGUAGCCGGCCGCGGAGGUGGUCUUCCGUGGUCAAGCACGCAGGGCGUGGGACAGGCAAAUCCGUCCCGCAUGGGUCCGAGGUGCGAUGAUGGGGGCCUUAUGGCCCGAUAUCCGGUGAUCCCGGCUGCCGAGAAAAGCUUCGGCGUCAGGCUCAAAGCCGCCCGUACCCCAAACCGACACUGGUGGUCAGGUAGAGAAUACCAAAGCGAUCGAGCGAAUCCUGGUCAAGGAACUCGGCAAAUCACUCCCGUUCCUUCGGUUUAAGGGAGACCCCCGAUGGUGAACACACUUGCUGUGGGAGCUUUUGGGGGUGGCACAGACCAGGGGGUAGCGACUGUUUACCAAAAACACAGGUGCAUGCGAAGGCGCAAGCCGCUGUAUAUGCACUGACGCCUGCCCGGUGCCGGAAGGUUAAGAGGAUCCGUCAGCCUUCGGGUGAAGCGGUGAAUUCAAGCCCCGGUAAACGGCGGUGGUAACAAUAACCAUCCUAAGGUAGCGAAAUUCCUUGUCGGGUAAGUUCCGACCUGCACGAAUGGCGUAACGACUUCCCCACUGUCUCGACCAGGAGCUCGGCGAAAUUGCAGUACGAGUAAAGAUGCUCGUUAAGCGCAGAAGGACGAAAAGACCCCGGGACCUUUACUAUACCUUGGUAUUGGCAUUCGGUGUGGAUUGUGUAGCAUAGGCGGGAGGCCGAGAGGCGCGGUCGCCAGAUCGCGCGGAGCCGUAAGGUGAAAUACCGCUCUGUUCGCAUUGGAUGUCUAACCUCGAACAGUCAUCCUGUUCAGGGACAGUGCCUGGCGGGUAGUUUAACUGGGGCGGUUGCCUCCCAAAGAGUAACGGAGGCGCCCAAAGGUCCGCUCAGCCCGGUUGGCAAUCGGGUGGCGAGUGCAAGUGCACAAGCGGGCUUGACUGCGAGGACGACGGUCCGAGCAGGGACGAAAGUCGGGACUAGUGAUCCGGUGCCGGUGUACGGACGCGGCAUCGCUCAACGGAUAAAAGGUACCCCGGGGAUAACAGGCUGAUCAUUCCCAAGAGUCCAUAUCGACGGGAUGGUUUGGCACCUCGAUGUCGGCUCGUCGCAUCCUGGGGCUGGAGCAGGUCCCAAGGGUUCGGCUGUUCGCCGAUUAAAGCGGCACGCGAGCUGGGUUCAGAACGUCGUGAGACAGUUUGGUCUCUAUCCUCUGCGCUCGUUGGAAUGCUGAGGAGGCCUGCCCAUAGUACGAGAGGACCUGGGUGGACGAACCUCUGGUAUGCCGGUUGUCACGCCAGUGGCACGGCCGGUUGGCUACGUUCGGAAGGGAUAACCGCUGAAAGCAUCUAAGCGGGAAGCCUGCUCCAAGAUAAGCAUUCCGUGGAACCUUCGAGUUCCUGUAGUCCCCAUGCAGAACACGUGGUCGAUAGGCCGGACGUGGAAGCCCCGCGAGGGGUGGAGCCGACCGGUACUAACGGACGAAAGAC
Molecule: ribosomal RNA, 1523 nt
Filed under: metagenome
Description: bacterial LSU rRNA
Rfam family: Bacterial large subunit ribosomal RNA
Source: RNAcentral